Long non-coding RNA from Podarcis raffonei (Aeolian wall lizard), 1459 nucleotides. RefSeq lists it as uncharacterized. The transcript has 3 exons. The record is from RefSeq and is a predicted model, not a curated record. Lineage: Eukaryota; Metazoa; Chordata; Lepidosauria; Squamata; Lacertidae.
GGAAUAACACAUUCCCCUCAGUUAAUGAUCCCAUUAAAAUAAUAAAGUUGCAUCUCAAUAUAAUGUUCUGAAAUUGAUAUUGUUACUUGUAGCUGAAAGCUGUGAAUUUGCUGUCUGUUCCUGAAUGCAGUUUUAAGGAAACACCAGAAGCACAGACUCCAUAUGUCGGCAUCUAGCACCACCAAGUGUUCAACUCAGUUUGUCUGCAGCAGAGCUCAAGAAAACACGUGUCCUUUCCUCUGUGCACCAUCGCAAGGCACAAUCUGUGAUGCUAGAAGCCUCCCAUUGCUUUUAAAUAGGCCCACCCAAGAGAAUCUUGGAGGACAAUACUCUGUUUGAAGAGCUGCCGUGUGACCAGGAAUUUGCCCAUCAACAGCUCCCACCAAGACACCAAACUCUGCAAGCACACAGGUCGCUACAGCACCUCAUUUCCCUUAGCAUGGAAAGAGACCACACGACUGUUAAGUUAAAAAUGGUUUACUCACAAGCUCUUCAGAGCAAUAAUGAAAUCAAAUUCAAUAAAGAAGCAGUAAGCACAGCAAGAAAACAAUGAAUUAAAACAGCCAUAAUCAAUACGCAGUGAACCUCAAAAGCUCUGUAGAAGAAAACUGAAUGUCUGGAGCCUAAUGACAGUGCAAUGGAACUCACUAGGAAGUGAUUUCCAUAAUUUUGACUCCAGUUUGGGAAAGGACAGUUGGGAAGCCAACUGGAAAUCAGUGAAGAUUGACUCAAACCCACAUUAUACCUACAUUAUAUGGUCCAUGCAGUCCAGCUCAGUCAGUAUCCUAGUGGCUGCAUUUUGAGCUCCUUGAAGUUUCCAAGUGUUCUUCUAAGGAACUCAUAAGUAACUUACUCCCAGCAGCAAGAAACAUCGUAACUAGAUACUGGAAGAACCUAUCAGAAGUGAACACAGGCUACUGGUACCAAAAUGUAUGGGAAACCGCCCUAGACUAGGAAAGUUAACCAACAAACUUAAAUUAGCACGGGGACAAGCAAAGGAAAACCCCUUCAUCCCGGUGUGGUUCCCCUUUAUCACAAACACAGCACAACACAACAGGACAAUGACCUAUCCCCCCUCCACAGUAUACAAAUCAAUAUGGCUAACCUGAGUCAACAACCUUCCCCCUCUAACACACACACACAUACAGACAAGCCACACUCCAAUCAACUGAAUGCAACAAACCAAGCUCUGGAUCCCCUAAUCUUUCAUAAUGUGUGUGUGUGUGUGUGUGUGUGUGUGUGUGUGUGUGUAACAAAGGAUCUACCCAUGUGAUGCUAACACAAAUCAGUACAGUAACACUCUGCAACAAAAGAACAAUACCCCCACCUCUCUCCCUUCCAUCAACUGCAAGAUGCCUAUGACAAAAGUGUCUGUCACUACAUGUAAACAAACUGUGAAAAAGACUCUAUGAAUUGAAAGUGGAGACAAUAGAUGUGCUUUUCCCUGUUUAUUUUUUUC